AAAUUCUUAACGGCCGCGGCACUAAAACCGUGCAAAGGUAGCACAAUCACUUGUCCCUUAAAUGAGGACCCGUAUGAAAGGCAACAUGAGAGAAGACCUGUCUCCUAAGGCCAGCCAGUGAAAUUGAACUACCAGUACAAAAGCUGGUAUUUACAAGCAAGACAAAAAGACCCUAUGGAACUUUAACAAAUUAUUUAUAUAACAUAAAUUAUAGUUUCAGUUGGGACAACUUUAGAGAAAAUUAACCUCUUAAUAAUACACAGACCAACAAGUCUAACCUACCCGACCC
RNAcentral lists this ribosomal RNA (289 nucleotides) under Bradypodion gutturale. Its description in RNAcentral is "partial 16S ribosomal RNA". It matches the Rfam family "Bacterial large subunit ribosomal RNA", at positions 1914 to 2447 of the family's 2925-position model. Lineage: Eukaryota; Metazoa; Chordata; Lepidosauria; Squamata; Chamaeleonidae. The record is from RNAcentral.